This 541-nucleotide ribosomal RNA is filed under the name uncultured archaeon. RNAcentral's name for it is "bacterial SSU rRNA". It matches the Rfam family "Archaeal small subunit ribosomal RNA", at positions 326 to 867 of the family's 1478-position model. The record is from RNAcentral.
CGGGGUGCAGCAGGCGCGAAAACUUUACAAUGCGGGAAACCGUGAUAAGGGGACACCGAGUGCCAGCAUCAUAUGCUGGCUGUCCGGGUGUGUAAAAUACACCCGUUAGCAAGGGCCGGGCAAGACCGGUGCCAGCCGCCGCGGUAAUACCGGCGGCCCGAGUGGUGAUCGUGAUUAUUGGGUCUAAAGGGUCCGUAGCCGGUUUGGUCAGUCCUCCGGGAAAUCUGACGGCUCAACCGUUAGGCUUUCGGGGGAUACUGCCAGGCUUGGAACCGGGAGAGGUAAGAGGUACUACAGGGGUAGGAGUGAAAUCUUGUAAUCCCUGUGAGACCACCUGUGGCGAAGGCGUCUUACCAGAACGGGUUCGACGGUGAGGGACGAAAGCUGGGGGCACGAACCGGAUUAGAUACCCGGGUAGUCCCAGCCGUAAACGAUGCUCGCUAGGUGUCAGGCAUGGCGCGACCGUGUCUGGUGCCGCAGGGAAGCCGUGAAGCGAGCCACCUGGGAAGUACGGCCGCAAGGCUGAAACUUAAAGGAAUUG